AUGGAUGAUAGUAGUUCGCAGUCUGGCAGCUGCGGAGCAGCGGACGCUCGUUAUGUUAAGGACGUCGCUCACGCAGCUGCGCCUUGCCCUCUUGUUCACCCAGAGGGCUCAUCUUCAAGUGCUAAGUCGGCAGAUCCACCUGCACCAACAUCACGCAUCUCCAUCAAGCAUGCAGCUUGUGUCAUUCAGAAGUUUGACGACUACAAGAAAUGGUUAGUAGAGCAGAUUGGUUUUGGUGGUAUGCUGAAGCUCCCAGCCGUGCAGAAGCUGAGUUUGAAGUGCAGCGCCUGGAUAAUGAGUAGAGUCAGCGUUAGCCGUAGGGAGAUUAAACUUAGGGAUAACAAGGUACUCAGGUUUUUCACCGAGGAUGUGCACAAGGUUUUUGGGAUCCCAUGUGGUCACCGCAGUGUGAAAGGCAGGGAUGCAAUCAUCAAUCCUGAAGCUGUUCAUUUCAUAAAGACAAUACUUCAAAUGGAUAAAACCGGCGUGCACAGCUUGCGGGCUGCUGAAAAUUUUCUGUUGCGCGAUAUCAAUGAGAAUUCAAGCAAGUUGGAGAAGGAUUGUUUCCAGAUUGCAUUUGUCAUCUUUGUUAUGGGUCAUGUACUAGCACCAACUACUAAGCACAACUAUGCCACCAUCGACUACUGGGGGGCGAUUGCAAAUACGGAGGCCAUAGUUCAGUUCAAUUGGUGUGAGUAUGUUCUGUUACAACUUCUGGAUGCAGUCAAGAAGCUGAAGAGUGACAUGCUGGCCAACAAUCAGUCCACCAAUCUAACGGGUUGCCAUUUUUUCUUCCAGAUUUUCUUGUUGGACAACCUUGAUCUCGGCAUUUUAAACAAGCAUCAUAAUGUGCUCCCAAGGAUAUCUGACUUCGACCCAGAGUCAUUUCAUAAAAUGUUGAUUAUGGCUGCUGAUCCAGUGAAAGGAGCUACGUCAUAUUCUCAUGCAAAUCUGAGAGAUGCGUCGAUGGUCUGCUACAUACGGCAGAAGUUUCCCUCAUCUGUUCCGUCGUCAACAACUAGUAGAAGGCUGCCGAGGGGAUGUGCCACGCCUGCAAUAGGAAACCUUCAAUUCACAACUCCCCUAGCACAUUGCGACGCUGGUCAUCAGGUUAACACUGACGGAGCAAUGCCAUCUGCUGCAGCUCCUGGUCCAUUGGAAUUCGCAAAGUACUUACGUGAGAAGUACCCACAUCUUGUAGCGGACGAGAUCACAAUGAUUAUAAAACAGCAGUACGCAUGGGGCCUUAUGCAGUUGACACAAGCCAGCAAUUCUAUCCAGCAGGCUUUGUUACAAGCAAAAAAUGGUUUGCAACUGGAUAUGUACAAGUUUUCAAACCAAGUAAUCAACUCAGUGUCUACCCGCUGUGUAUGUUGUCGUGUGCGUGGUUUCACUGAUUGCCCUCCCUCAGGCACUGCUAAUUCCAAAUCGGUACGUUUUACCACGCCGGUGGCUCACAAAAUUCAGGGGAAAAGGCUAGAACUAUCUGAAUCCGAAGCUACAUCGCCUGUAGCACAAAAUGUUUCGUCGCGCAAGAGAUCCGCUAAUAUGGAGGACUCCGUAUCUAGCAGCAAAAAAAGACGUCAGCAGCAUCUUGCAAUGUCCUCAAUCACUUCAAGUCUUGCCUCAUGUCCCUCGCUGAAAUGUAUGCUGACCUUCCUGCCAACCCCCCUAUAA
Molecule: ribosomal RNA, 1677 nt
Filed under: Triticum aestivum (bread wheat)
Lineage: Eukaryota; Viridiplantae; Streptophyta; Magnoliopsida; Poales; Poaceae
Description: partial small subunit ribosomal RNA
Source: RNAcentral